GAUGAAGAACGCAGCGAAAUGCGAUAAGUAGUGUGAAUUGCAGAAUUCAGUGAAUCAUCGAAUCUUUGAACGCACAUUGCGCCUCCCGGCAUUCCGGGAGGCAUGCCUGUUCGAGCGUCAUCAAAACCACUCAAGCUUUGUGUUUUACUCAUGGCUUGGUAUUGGAGCUGGAGUGGACAUGAGCCAUUCCUAUCCGAAUUCCAGUGGCAAAGUUGUCUUCACCGAUAGGCGUAGUGAUCAACAUUAUGUUUCGCUUUGGCUUAGACAAUCUUCCGCCGUUAACCACCCCCAUCCAAAAUUUAAGUGUUUGACCUCGGAUCAGGUAGGGAUACCCGCUGAACUUAAGCAUAUCAAUAAGCGGAGGA
Molecule: unclassified non-coding RNA, 365 nt
Filed under: soil metagenome
Description: partial contains 5.8S ribosomal RNA, internal transcribed spacer 2, and large subunit ribosomal RNA
Rfam family: 5.8S ribosomal RNA (bases 1-120)
Source: RNAcentral